RNAcentral lists this ribosomal RNA (318 nucleotides) under Triticum aestivum (bread wheat). RNAcentral's name for it is "partial small subunit ribosomal RNA". Lineage: Eukaryota; Viridiplantae; Streptophyta; Magnoliopsida; Poales; Poaceae. The record is from RNAcentral.
AUGGCUUCAUCCGGUUCCAGGACGAGGCCGGCGUGCGCGGACCAAGAGGACAUGCCGAAGACGUGGAUGGAGGCCAGGUUAGAGAAGGAGAAGGAGAAGGAUGUGCCCACACCACCAUGUUGGUGUGGUGAUGUUUGCAAGCUGAAGGUGUCCACGGACCGCAAGAAGUCAUGGACAGAAGUCGCCUCCUCCACUUUGCAAGUACUUCACUUGGAUAGAUCACGAGGUACCAAAAGAUGUCCAAGAGGACCAACAUCGAGAUUGCUUACGGAGGCAGCGCCUAUUCGAGGAGUCCUUUGCAUGGGGAUUGGAGCAUGA